UUUGUUUUGCCUCAGUUCAGCAAAAGGUCACAGACCACACAUCACUGAUCUCCAGGAUAAAACAGUUGUUUCAACAAAUAACUUGAAAGAAGAAAGAUGGAAGAGGAGAAAAAGCAAAGACUGAGAGACUUGAGGUGGUCGACAAUAUCGGGACUUUACUUGGCUCCUGAUUAGAAUAUGCUGGAAAAGCUGAGAUGGUUGUGAAUCGACUUGGGAAUAUUUGUGUAAUGCCCGGUGAAGUCAUGUCAGGUUAAAUUUCCGAGACUUAAACUUUUUAAAAAACACAACGCUUCAAGUCUUCUUUGGGAUGUAUGUGUAGUUACACGGAUCUGUAAAGACAUUUGAAAAUAUAUACACGUGGCCGGGUGCGGUAGCUCACUCCUGUAAUCCCAGCACUUUGGGAGGCCGAGGUGGGCGGAUCACAUGAGGUUAGGAGUUCUAGACCAGCCUGGCCAACAUGAUGGAACCUUGUCUCUACUAAAAAUACAAAAAAUUAGCCGGGCAUGGUGGCGGACGCCUGUAAUCCCAGCUCCUGGGGAAGCUGAGGCAGGAGAAUCACUUGAACCCGGGAGGUGGAGCCGAGAUCGCGCCACUGCACUCCAGCCUGGGCGACAGAGUGAGACUCCAUCUCAAACAAACAAAAAAUAUAUAUGUAUAUAUACACACACGUUUAUCAUAUCUCCUUUUGAGGAGACUGGAUAAACAGUGGUUGCCUCUGGGGAAGUUGAAAGAGGGGUGCAUGGGGGGAUGGGAGACAUCUGAGACCCUCUUAUACUGCUUGAGGUGUGUACAUGUGUUUGCAUUUGCUUUGUUGUUAUUUCACCUCAGGUGUACACAAUCAAUUAUUGGUACAUGAGGCAUUAUUACUGGCCUAUUGUUAGCCUACACUUGCCUACAUUUUUUAGGCUGCUUGCUUGCACCUCUGUUUAUUAUGAUAUAAUAAGUACUAGGGAACCUACUGCCCCAAAGUAGGACCUUAACCACAACCUACAUCUCUCUUUAUAUGGCCUCCUGAUGUCCCCUCCCCUCCUCUGCCCUACAACUUAAGAAUCAACAGCCUGACUCCUACAG
This 1071-nucleotide long non-coding RNA is filed under the name Homo sapiens (human). Its description in RNAcentral is "HSALNT0268852". The record is from RNAcentral. Lineage: Eukaryota; Metazoa; Chordata; Mammalia; Primates; Hominidae.